CCUGGCGGCCUUAGGGCGGUGGUCCAACCUGACCCCAUGCCGAACUCAGAAGUGAAACGCCGUAGCGCCGAUGGUAGUGUGGGGUCUCCCCAUGCGAGAGUAGGGAACUGCCAGGC
This 116-nucleotide ribosomal RNA is filed under the name Escherichia coli O145:NM str. 2010C-3508. The record is from RNAcentral. Lineage: Bacteria; Pseudomonadati; Pseudomonadota; Gammaproteobacteria; Enterobacterales; Enterobacteriaceae.